RNAcentral lists this unclassified non-coding RNA (150 nucleotides) under soil metagenome. RNAcentral describes it as "partial internal transcribed spacer 1". The record is from RNAcentral.
CCGAGUUUACAACUCCCAAACCCCUGUGAACAUACCUUUAGUGUUGCCUCGGCGGAUCAGCCCGCGCCCCGUAAAACGGGACGGCCCGCCGCAGGAAACCCUAAACUCUGUUUUUAGUGGAACUUCUGAGUAUAAAAAACAAAUAAAUCA